CGCAGAGUAGCUGUGGAUAUUAUAGUUGCGCAGGCACUUUGUUGACUCUAGAAAACCUCGGCCCAAUCGCACAUUCCCGUGACGGCGAUUUUGCAUUUGGACGUCAUCCAUAUCAACUUUCUAUGCCAGUUUCUGUGCCUACCAUGGUGACCAUGGGUAACGGAGAAUCAGGGUUACAUUCCAUACAGGGACCCUGAGAAAUGGCUACCACAUGCAAGGAAGGCAUCAGGCGCGCAAAUGACCCACUCCCGACACGGGAAGGUAGUGACG
This is a non-coding RNA of Pelobates cultripes (western spadefoot toad), 270 nucleotides long. NCBI's taxonomy places the organism in Eukaryota, Metazoa, Chordata, Amphibia, Anura, Pelobatidae. The record is from the annotation of a GenBank genome assembly.